UAGGGAAUAUUGGGCAAUGGGCGCAAGCCUGACCCAGCCAUGCCGCGUGAGGGAAGAAGGUCCACUGGAUUGUAAACCUCUUUUAUGCAGGACUAAGGCCUUUGCAACUCAAGGGAUUGAAGGUACUGCAGGAAUAAGCACCGGCAAACUACGUGCCAGCAGCCGCGGUAAUACGUAGGGUGCAAGCGUUGUCCGGAUUUACUGGGUUUAAAGGGUGCGCAGGCGGGCUGCUAAGUCAGUGAUGAAAUGUCAGGGCUCAACCUUGGCGCUGUUACUGAUACUGGCGGUCUUGAGAACGGAUGAAGCAGCUAGAAUGAGUGGUGUAGCGGUGAAAUGCGUAGAGAUCACUCAGAAUACCGAUAGCGAAGGCAGGUUGCUGGACCGUAUCUGACGCUCAGGC
RNAcentral lists this ribosomal RNA (400 nucleotides) under uncultured bacterium. RNAcentral's name for it is "bacterial SSU rRNA". It matches the Rfam family "Bacterial small subunit ribosomal RNA", at positions 355 to 752 of the family's 1533-position model. The record is from RNAcentral.